Molecule: ribosomal RNA, 492 nt
Filed under: uncultured bacterium
Lineage: Bacteria
Description: partial 16S ribosomal RNA
Rfam family: Bacterial small subunit ribosomal RNA
Source: RNAcentral
AGUGAACGCUGGCGGUAGGCCUAACACAUGCAAGUCGAACGGCAGCACAGUAAGGGCUUGCUCUUACGGGUGGCGAGUGGCGGACGGGUGAGGAAUACAUCGGAAUCUACUUUUUCGUGGGGGAUAACGUAGGGAAACUUACGCUAAUACCGCAUACGACCUACGGGUGAAAGCAGGGGAUCUUCGGACCUUGCGCGAUUGAAUGAGCCGAUGUCGGAUUAGCUAGUUGGCGGGGUAAAGGCCCACCAAGGCGACGAUCCGUAGCUGGUCUGAGAGGAUGAUCAGCCACACUGGAACUGAGACACGGUCCAGACUCCUACGGGAGGCAGCAGUGGGGAAUAUUGGACAAUGGGCGCAAGCCUGAUCCAGCCAUACCGCGUGGGUGAAGAAGGCCUUCGGGUUGUAAAGCCCUUUUGUUGGGAAAGAAAAGCAGCAGGUUAAUACCCCGCUGUUCUGACGGUACCCAAAGAAUAAGCACCGGCUAACCUCGUG